UACGGAGGGUGCAAGCGUUGUUCGGAAUUACUGGGCGUAAAGCGCGUCUAGGUGGAUUUGUAAGUCAGGUGUGAAAGACCUUGGCUCAACCAAGGAAAUGCGCCUGAGACUAUGAGUCUUGGUGUGAGGGUGGUGGAUCUGUGUAGCAGUGAAAUGCGUAGAUAUCAGGAGGAACAUCAGAGGCGAAGGCGACUCACUGGCCACAUACUGACACUGAAGCGCGAGAGCGUGGGUAGC
RNAcentral lists this ribosomal RNA (237 nucleotides) under uncultured bacterium. RNAcentral's name for it is "partial 16S ribosomal RNA". It matches the Rfam family "Bacterial small subunit ribosomal RNA", at positions 524 to 769 of the family's 1533-position model. The record is from RNAcentral.